UCUCCCCCAAGAUUUUCAAAGUAUUAAGGAGAUUGCCAUUCUUGGCAUGUGCAAAAACCUACACUACAUCAUGUCAAAGCCAUAUUGAUACCCUCUAUGAUGAGCUUGUAGCCAUAGUUAUGACAAUUCUCCCACACUCAAAUUGCUAAACACCCUCAUUGGUAUCCAACCCUUGAUUCAACAAUCCAGUAUCCAUGAUCAGAAUUCUAUUACAAAUCUAGUAACCAUGGUUCUUCAAACUAGAG
This 245-nucleotide long non-coding RNA is filed under the name Elaeis guineensis (African oil palm). RNAcentral's name for it is "long non-coding RNA (EGUI_LNC071511)". Lineage: Eukaryota; Viridiplantae; Streptophyta; Magnoliopsida; Arecales; Arecaceae. The record is from RNAcentral.